Molecule: ribosomal RNA, 521 nt
Filed under: uncultured deep-sea bacterium
Lineage: Bacteria
Description: bacterial SSU rRNA
Rfam family: Bacterial small subunit ribosomal RNA
Source: RNAcentral
GAGUUUGAUCCUGGCUCAGAUUGAACGCUGGCGGUAUGCUUAACACAUGCAAGUCGAACGAUGAAUUCCAGCUUGCUGGAAGGAUUAGUGGCGGACGGGUGCGUAACGCGUGGGAAUCUACCUUGUAGUGGGGGAUAGCCCGGAGAAAUCCGGAUUAAUACCGCAUAAUCUCUACGGAGCAAAGUGGGGGAUCUUCGGACCUCACGCUAUUAGAUGAGCCCGCGUUAGAUUAGCUUGUUGGUGAGGUAAUGGCUCACCAAGGCUACGAUCUAUAGCUGGUUUGAGAGGAUGAUCAGCCACACUGGGACUGAGACACGGCCCAGACUCCUACGGGAGGCAGCAGUGGGGAAUAUUGGACAAUGGGCGCAAGCCUGAUCCAGCAAUACCGCGUGUGUGAAGAAGGCCUGAGGGUUGUAAAGCACUUUCAAUAGAGACGAAAAGCUCAGAGUUAAUAGCUCUGGGUCUUGACUUAACCUAUAGAAGAAGCACCGGCUAACUCCGUGCCAGCAGCCGCGGUAAUA